This 576-nucleotide ribosomal RNA is filed under the name Hanseniaspora uvarum. RNAcentral describes it as "eukaryotic LSU rRNA". It matches the Rfam family "Eukaryotic large subunit ribosomal RNA", at positions 37 to 626 of the family's 3401-position model. Lineage: Eukaryota; Fungi; Ascomycota; Saccharomycetes; Saccharomycodales; Saccharomycodaceae. The record is from RNAcentral.
UGCAUAUCAAAUAAGCGGAGGAAAAGAAACCAACUGGGAUUACCUUAGUAACGGCGAGUGAAGCGGUAAAAGCUCAAAUUUGAAAUCUGGUACUUUCAGUGCCCGAGUUGUAAUUUGUAGAAUUUGUCUUUGAUUAGGUCCUUGUCUAUGUUCCUUGGAACAGGACGUCAUAGAGGGUGAGAAUCCCGUUUGGCGAGGAUACCUUUUCUCUGUAAGACUUUUUCGAAGAGUCGAGUUGUUUGGGAAUGCAGCUCAAAGUGGGUGGUAAAUUCCAUCUAAAGCUAAAUAUUGGCGAGAGACCGAUAGCGAACAAGUACAGUGAUGGAAAGAUGAAAAGAACUUUGAAAAGAGAGUGAAAAAGUACGUGAAAUUGUUGAAAGGGAAGGGCAUUUGAUCAGACAUGGUGUUUUUUGCAUGCACUCGCCUCUCGUGGGCUUGGGCCUCUCAAAAAUUUCACUGGGCCAACAUCAAUUCUGGCAGCAGGAUAAAUCAUUAAGAAUGUAGCUACUUCGGUAGUGUUAUAGCUUUUUGGAAUACUGUUAGCCGGGAUUGAGGACUGCGCUUCGGCAAGGAUGU